UACGUAGGGGGCAAGCGUUGUCCGGAUUCAUUGGGCGUAAAGAGCGUGUAGGCGGCCAGGUAGGUCUGCUGUGAAAACUCGAGGCUCAACCUCGAGACGUCGGCGGAAACCAUCUGGCUAGAGUCCGGAAGAGGAGAGUGGAAUUCCUGGUGUAGCGGUGAAAUGCGCAGAUAUCAGGAAGAACACCCGUGGCGAAGGCGACUACCUGGCCUGUUCUUGACGCUGAGGCGCGAAAGCUAGGGGAGCAAACGGG
This 253-nucleotide ribosomal RNA is filed under the name uncultured bacterium. RNAcentral's name for it is "partial 16S ribosomal RNA". It matches the Rfam family "Bacterial small subunit ribosomal RNA", at positions 524 to 776 of the family's 1533-position model. The record is from RNAcentral.